AACUGACAAAAACAAGACAAGUACAGAAGUAAAGACGUUUGAAUCAGUGUUUUUCCAUUCUUUAUCUGGAUCUAAAAGCUCUAAAAGGAAUUGCAGAGAACAGGCUCCGAAAAGCAACACCCAGGGUUUUCAGCAAAAUGAACCUCCGUUCAAGAAUCAGUUUAUUAAGAGUGCACUGAGAGGACCUGAAAACCCAAAACAGCAGUCACUGC
Molecule: long non-coding RNA, 212 nt
Organism: Hipposideros armiger (great roundleaf bat)
Lineage: Eukaryota; Metazoa; Chordata; Mammalia; Chiroptera; Hipposideridae
Exons: 3
Source: RefSeq, a predicted model, not a curated record